RNAcentral lists this ribosomal RNA (518 nucleotides) under uncultured marine eukaryote. RNAcentral describes it as "bacterial SSU rRNA". It matches the Rfam family "Eukaryotic small subunit ribosomal RNA", at positions 33 to 549 of the family's 1831-position model. The record is from RNAcentral.
AGUAUCUGAUCUGGUUUAAAGAUUAAGCCAUGCAUGUCUCAGUAUAAGUCUUCACACGGCGAAACUGCGAAUGGCUCAUUAAAACAGUUAUAGUCUAGCCGCAAGUCAAACGGUAUAUGGACAACUGAGGAAAAUCUUGAGCUAAUACAUGCGAACAAACCCGACUUCGGAAGGGUCGUAUUUAUUAGAUACAGAACCAGUGGCCUCGGCCUUAUGGAUGAUUCAUGAUAAACGAACGGAGCACGUGCCUUGUGGCGGUGCUAAUGCGGUCGAGUUUCUGACCUAUCAGCUUUCGACGGUAUGGUAUUGGCUUACCGUGGCAUUGACGGGUAACGGAGGAUUAGAGUCUGAUUCCGGAGAGGGAGCCUUAGAAACGGCUACCACAUCUAAGGAAGGCAGCAGGCGCGCAAAUUACCCAAUUCCGAUACGGAGAGGUAGUGACAAGAAAUAACAAAGCAGGCGCAUCGCGUUCUGCUCUUGGAAUGAUUGCUAGUUAAAUCUCAGCAAGACUAUCCACU